AGUUUGAUCCUGGCUCAGAUUGAACGCUGGCGGCAGGCCUAACACAUGCAAGUCGAACGGUAACAGAGAGUAACUUGCUACUUUGCUGACGAGUGGCGGACGGGUGAGUAAUGUCUGGGGAUCUGCCUGAUGGAGGGGGAUAACUACUGGAAACGGUAGCUAAUACCGCAUAAUGUCGCAAGACCAAAGCGGGGGACUUUCGGGCCUCGCACCAUCAGAUGAACCCAGAUGGGAUUAGCUAGUAGGUAGGGUAAUGGCUUACCUAGGCGACGAUCCCUAGCUGGUCUGAGAGGAUGACCAGCCACACUGGAACUGAGACACGGUCCAGACUCCUACGGGAGGCAGCAGUGGGGAAUAUUGCACAAUGGGCGCAAGCCUGAUGCAGCCAUGCCGCGUGUAUGAAGAAGGCCUUCGGGUUGUAAAGUACUUUCAGUCAGGAGGAAGGGUGUGAAAUUAAUACUUUCAUGCAUUGACGUUACUGACAGAAGAAGCACCGGCUAACUCCGUGCCAGCAGCCGCGGUAA
Molecule: ribosomal RNA, 524 nt
Filed under: uncultured bacterium
Lineage: Bacteria
Description: bacterial SSU rRNA
Rfam family: Bacterial small subunit ribosomal RNA
Source: RNAcentral